This 138-nucleotide ribosomal RNA is filed under the name uncultured eukaryote. Its description in RNAcentral is "partial 18S ribosomal RNA". It matches the Rfam family "Eukaryotic small subunit ribosomal RNA", at positions 1299 to 1458 of the family's 1831-position model. The record is from RNAcentral.
CGGUGGAAUGAUUUAUCUGGUUAAUUCCAUACGAACGAGACCUUAACUUGCUGAAUCGUUGCAUGUAACCUCGGUUAUGUGGGCAACUUCUUAGAUGAACUUUGCGCUUCCAGUGCAAGGAAGUUUGAGGCCAUAACA